GACGAACGCUGGCGGCGUGCUUAACACAUGCAAGUCGAACGGAAAGGCCCUGCUUGCAGGGUACUCGAGUGGCGAACGGGUGAGUAACACGUGGGUGAUCUGCCCUGCACUUCGGGAUAAGCCUGGGAAACUGGGUCUAAUACCGGAUAGGAGCCAUUUUUAGUGUGAUGGUUGGAAAGUUUUUUCGGUGUAGGAUGAGCUCGCGGCCUAUCAGCUUGUUGGUGAGGUAAUGGCCUACCAAGGCGGCGACGGGUAGCCGGCCUGAGAGGGUGGACGGCCACAUUGGGACUGAGAUACGGCCCAGACUCCUACGGGAGGCAGCAGUGGGGAAUAUUGCACAAUGGGCGCAAGCCUGAUGCAGCGACGCCGCGUGGGGGAUGACGGCCUUCGGGUUGUAAACUCCUUUCGCCAGGGACGAAGCUUUUUGUGACGGUACCUAGAUAAGAAGCACCGGCUAACUACGUG
Molecule: ribosomal RNA, 465 nt
Filed under: uncultured bacterium
Lineage: Bacteria
Description: partial 16S ribosomal RNA
Rfam family: Bacterial small subunit ribosomal RNA
Source: RNAcentral